Molecule: ribosomal RNA, 253 nt
Filed under: uncultured bacterium
Lineage: Bacteria
Description: partial 16S ribosomal RNA
Rfam family: Bacterial small subunit ribosomal RNA
Source: RNAcentral
UACGUAGGGUGCGAGCGUUAAUCGGAAUUACUGGGCGUAAAGCGUGCGCAGGCGGUUCGUUAAGUCAGAUGUGAAAUCCCCGGGCUUAACCUGGGAACUGCAUUUGUGACUGCAUGGCUGGAGUGCGGCAGAGGGGGAUGGAAUUCCGCGUGUAGCAGUGAAAUUCGUAGAUAUUCGCAAGAACACCAGUGGCGAAGGCGGCUCACUGGCCCGAUACUGACGCUGAGGCACGAAAGCGUGGGGAGCAAACAGG